RNAcentral lists this small RNA (753 nucleotides) under Pan troglodytes (chimpanzee). RNAcentral describes it as "retained intron". The record is from RNAcentral. Lineage: Eukaryota; Metazoa; Chordata; Mammalia; Primates; Hominidae.
GACACUGAAAAUCAGUAGAAGAAAUACGCCACAUUUAUUCUACCGGAGAAGACAGUGGGAAACCUGAAACUGCCAUUGAGCAGAAGGAAAACAUCCCUUUCCAGAACCUUUCUCGUUUUUCUAAAAAUCUGCACUUUUGGAAGUGAUCCCCCAAAGAGACCUCCAGACUCUACCAUGAGUGUCUCCAGCUGAACUCAUCGUGUCUAAUCCUCACCCUAGCUUAUCCUGUUCAAAUCAUUUCCAUCUUUUUCUGGAUGAACCUGGGCGGAUGUCAGACCAGAGAAGAGCACAGAAUGUACCAGAGAGAGUCUUGCUCUGUCACCCAGGCUGAAGUGCACCCAGGCUGAAGUUGGAGGCUAUGGUGAGCUGCACCACUACACCACUAUGGGAGGCCGAGGCGAGUGGAUUGCCUGAGCUCAGGAGUUCGAGACCAGCCUGGGCAACGUUGUGAAACCCCGUCUCUACUAAAACACAAAAAAUUAGCCAGGCCUGGCGGCGUGUGCCUAUAGCCCAGCUACUCAGGAGGCUGAGGCAGGAGAAUUGCUUGAACCCGGGAGGUGGAGGUUGCAGUGAGCCGAGAUUGCGCCACUGCACUCCAGCCUUGGUGACAGAGUGAGACUCCGUCUCAAAAAAAAAAACAGAAUAUAAGGUGAAGGCCAAGCAGGGUGGCACAUACCUGUUGUCUCACCUACUCAAAAGGCUGAGGCCAGAGGAGGAUUGCUGGAAGUGAGUUCAAAGCCAGCCUAGAGAAUA